This 481-nucleotide ribosomal RNA is filed under the name uncultured bacterium. RNAcentral describes it as "partial 16S ribosomal RNA". It matches the Rfam family "Bacterial small subunit ribosomal RNA", at positions 28 to 507 of the family's 1533-position model. The record is from RNAcentral.
GAUGAACGCUGGCGGCGUGCUUAACACAUGCAAGUCGAACGAAGCACUUUAUUUGAUUUCCUUCGGGACUGAUUAUUUUGUGACUGAGUGGCGGACGGGUGAGUAACGCGUGGGUAACCUGCCUUGUACAGGGGGAUAACAGUUGGAAACGGCUGCUAAUACCGCAUAAGCGCACGGCAUCGCAUGAUGCAGUGGGAAAAAGUCCGGUGGUAUAAGAUGGACCCGCGUUGGUUUAGCUAGUUGGUGAGGUAACGGCACACCAAGGCGAGGAUCCAUAGCCGACCUGGGAGGCUGACCGGCGACGUUGGGACUGAGGCACGGCCCAAACUCCUACGGGAGGCAGCAGUGGGGAAUAUUGCACAAUGGGCGAAAGCCUGAUGCAGCGACGCCGCGUGAGCGAAGAAGUAUUUCGGUAUGUAAAGCUCUAUCAGCAGGGGAGAUAAUGACGGUACCUGACAAAGAAGCACCGGCUAACUACGUG